CCUACGGGUGGCAGCAGUGAGGAAUAUUGGUCAAUGGCCGGAAGGCUGAACCAGCCAAGCCGCGUGAAGGACGAAGGUGCCAAGCAUUGUAAACUUCUUUUGUCAAGGGACAAAAUCAGGCUCGAGCGCCUGACCGAGGGUACUCUAAGAACAAGCAUCGGCUAACUCCGUGCCAGCAGCCGCGGUAAUACGGAGGAUGCGAGCGUUAUCCGGAUUUAUUGGGUGAAAGGGGUGCGUAGGCGGGAUGUUACGUCAGCGGUAAAAGCCCGGGGCUCAACCCCGGCGAGCCGUUGAAACUGGGGGUCUUGAGAGGGCGAGAGGGAUGCGGAAUGCGGAGUGUAGCGGUGAAAUGCUUAGAUAUUGCGCAGAACUCCGAUUGCGAAGGCAGCAUACCGGAGGCGAUCUGACGCUGAGGCACGAAAGCGUGGGUAUCGAACAGGAUUAGAUACCCUGGUAGUC
This 459-nucleotide ribosomal RNA is filed under the name uncultured bacterium. RNAcentral describes it as "partial 16S ribosomal RNA". It matches the Rfam family "Bacterial small subunit ribosomal RNA", at positions 338 to 795 of the family's 1533-position model. The record is from RNAcentral.